UGCUGGAGGUAUCAGAAGUGCGAAUGCUGACAUAAGUAACGAUAAAGCGGGUGAAAAGCCCGCUCGCCGGAAGACCAAGGGUUCCUGUCCAACGUUAAUCGGGGCAGGGUGAGUCGACCCCUAAGGCGAGGCCGAAAGGCGUAGUCGAUGGGAAACGGGUUAAUAUUCCCGUACUUGGUGUUACUGCGAAGGGGGGACGGAGAAGGCUAUGUUGGCCGGGCGACGGUUGUCCCGGUUUAAGCGUGUAGGUGUGUGUUCCAGGUAAAUCCGGUUCACUUUAACACUGAGGCGUGACGACGAGGCACUACGGUGCUGAAGCAACAAAUGCCCUGCUUCCAGGAAAAGCCUCUAAGCAUCAGGUAACANGAAAUCGUACCCCAAACCGACACAGGUGGUCAGGUAGAGAAUACCAAGGCGCUUGAGAGAACUCGGGUGAAGGAACUAGGCAAAAUGGUGCCGUAACUUCGGGAGAAGGCACGCUGACACGUAGGUGAAGUGAUUUACUCAUGGAGCUGAAGUCAGUCGAAGAUACCAGCUGGCUGCAACUGUUUAUUAAAAACACAGCACUGUGCAAACACGAAAGUGGACGUAUACGGUGUGACGCCUGCCCGGUGCCGGAAGGUUAAUUGAUGGGGUCAGCGNAAGCGAAGCUCCUGAUCGAAGCCCCGGUAAACGGCGGCCGUAACUAUAACGGUCCUAAGGUAGCGAAAUUCCUUGUCGGGUAAGUUCCGACCUGCACGAAUGGCGUAAUGAUGGCCAGGCUGUCUCCACCCGAGACUCAGUGAAAUUGAACUCGCUGUGAAGAUGCAGUGUACCCGCGGCAAGACGGAAAGACCCCGUGAACCUUUACUAUAGCUUGACACUGAACAUUGAGCCUUGAUGUGUAGGAUAGGUGGGAGGCUUUGAAGUGUGGACGCCAGUCUGCAUGGAGCCGACCUUGAAAUACCACCCUUUAAUGUUUGAUGUUCUAACGUGGACCCGUAAUCCGGGUUGCGGACAGUGUCUGGUGGGUAGUUUGACUGGGGCGGUCUCCUCCUAAAGAGUAACGGAGGAGCACGAAGGUUGGCUAAUCCUGGUCGGACAUCAGGAGGUUAGUGCAAUGGCAUAAGCCAGCUUGACUGCGAGCGUGACGGCGCGAGCAGGUGCGAAAGCAGGUCAUAGUGAUCCGGUGGUUCUGAAUGGAAGGGCCAUCGCUCAACGGAUAAAAGGUACUCCGGGGAUAACAGGCUGAUACCGCCCAAGAGUUCAUAUCGACGGCGGUGUUUGGCACCUCGAUGUCGGCUCAUCACAUCCUGGGGCUGAAGUAGGUCCCAAGGGUAUGGCUGUUCGCCAUUUAAAGUGGUACGCGAGCUGGGUUUAGAACGUCGUGAGACAGUUCGGUCCCUAUCUGCCGUGGGCGCUGGAGAACUGAGGGGGGCUGCUCCUAGUACGAGAGGACCGGAGUGGACGCAUCACUGGUGUUCGGGUUGUCAUGCCAAUGGCACUGCCCGGUAGCUAAAUGCGGAAGAGAUAAGUGCUGAAAGCAUCUAAGCACGAAACUUGCCCCGAGAUGAGUUCUCCCUGAGACUUAGAGUCUCCUGAAGGAACGUUGAAGACGACGACGUUGAUAGGCCGGGUGUGUAAGCGCAGCGAUGCGUUGAGCUAACCGGUACUAAUGAACCGUGAGGCUUAACCUUACAACGCCGAAG
This 1688-nucleotide ribosomal RNA is filed under the name Salmonella enterica subsp. enterica serovar Typhimurium str. STm4. Its description in RNAcentral is "bacterial LSU rRNA". It matches the Rfam family "Bacterial large subunit ribosomal RNA", at positions 1271 to 2925 of the family's 2925-position model. Lineage: Bacteria; Pseudomonadati; Pseudomonadota; Gammaproteobacteria; Enterobacterales; Enterobacteriaceae. The record is from RNAcentral.